ACUCAAAUGAAUAGACGGGGACCCGCACAAGCAGUGGAGUAUGUGGUUUAAUUCGAAGCAACGCGAAGAACCUUACCAGGGCUUGACAUCCUACUAACGAAGCAGAGAUGCAUAAGGUGCCCUUCGGGGAAAGUAGAGACAGGUGGUGCAUGGUUGUCGUCAGCUCGUGUCGUGAGAUGUUGGGUUAAGUCCCGCAACGAGCGCAACCCUUAUCGUUAGUUGCCAGCAGUAAGAUGGGCACUCUAACGAGACUGCCGAUGAUAAAUCGGAGGAAGGUGGGGAUGACGUCAAAUCAUCAUGCCCCUUAUGUCCUGGGCUACACACGUACUACAAUGGUCGUUAACAGAGGGAAGCGAGACCGCGAGGUGGAGCAAAUCCCCAAAAACGAUCCCAGUUCAGAUUGUAGGCUGAAACUCGCCUAUAUGAAGUCGGAAUUGCUAGUAAUCGCAAAUCAGAAUGUUGCGGUGAAUACGUUCCCGGGUCUUGUACACACCGCCCGU
RNAcentral lists this ribosomal RNA (500 nucleotides) under uncultured bacterium. Its description in RNAcentral is "bacterial SSU rRNA". It matches the Rfam family "Bacterial small subunit ribosomal RNA", at positions 899 to 1397 of the family's 1533-position model. The record is from RNAcentral.